UUUUCUUCUGUUUAUUGAGAAACCUUUUGCUCUCUCAUAACACCAAUUUGAUCAAUUAUGUUUUUGUUUUAUAAGUAUUUCUUCAUUGAAUUCUAAACUAAACAUGCAAACAAAUGAUCAGGACAUGUGAUGUAGAGAAUCACAAAUUAAAACUCUUUGAUGAACAUGAGGGGAAAAUGGUUCAAGAAAACCGGUACAAAGAGUAAAAGAAGGCUAAAGAAGAAAUGAAAGACAGAACAGCUAACACCCACAAAAGCCAAGAACCAGACUUGCCUAUAGUUUCAACCAUAUUUAUGAUCUCUUCCUUCUCUUUAGCUUCCAUCUUUCUUCUUCUUGCUUAUGCUUACAACUUGACCUCACAAUUGUUGGCGUCUUCGAUGAGCGAAUCUGAUUCUUUCGAUGAGGAUCGUUCCCGUAUCGAUCGGUAGAAAACCGUGCCAUAUCGGUCUCGAUCAACGACUGCAGAGAUUUCCCCCUGGAGAAAUUGAGAUAUUUAGAAAUCUGUCUUUGAAUUCAGCACCAAAGUUAUUUAUAAGACAAGGAAGGAGGAGGAGGUUAGCUUGAGUUCUCUCUUUAUCAUUGGAAGGGGUUGAUUGCUUGUAUGAUUUCCCUUAGUUUAUUGCCAACUAUGCCUACAGCAUAUCUUGAGCCAAGCCCAAGCAGAAUUCUAGGCUCAAAAAGAAAUAAACUACGCAAUUUGCUCUUCAACUUUUCUACUGUGUGUGUGAUGUUAUCUCAUUAACUUCUCACCUAAAGUUUACUUUUCCAAUAUGGAAUCCAAGGCUGGAGGUCCUACUUGAAACAGUUAAUUAGUGAGGCUUGAUUCAUCUCUGAAUGAUAUACUCCUAACACCCCAUCUUAGCAUUCAUAUUUUCUUUAGGAACAAAGGAAGAAGAGAACAUGGUGUUGACUUUAAUGGCAAAUUGUAAAAGACCAUGUAAGACUGCUGCCAAUUUAGAUUCUCCACAUUGUAUUGAG
Molecule: long non-coding RNA, 978 nt
Filed under: Phoenix dactylifera (date palm)
Lineage: Eukaryota; Viridiplantae; Streptophyta; Magnoliopsida; Arecales; Arecaceae
Description: long non-coding RNA (PDAC_LNC005655)
Source: RNAcentral